This 766-nucleotide long non-coding RNA is filed under the name Equus asinus (donkey). RNAcentral describes it as "lncRNA (ENSEASG00005034889.1)". Lineage: Eukaryota; Metazoa; Chordata; Mammalia; Perissodactyla; Equidae. The record is from RNAcentral.
AGUGGUAGAGUAAUGCAGUGUGAGAAAGAGUCAGCUGGAUAUUGCUGUCUGGGAGAUAGAAGAGAGCCACAAACAAAGGAAUGCAGGUGGUCUCUCGAAACUGCACAGGGCAUGAAAAUGGAUCCUCCCCUGGAGCCUCCAGGGAUAGAAAUCAGUGACACCUUGAGACCCAGUUUGGACUUCUGACCUCCAGAACUGCAACGUGAUACAUUUGCAUUGGUGUGAGCCACUAAUUUUGAGAACAAACACCGAUAAUGUUUACUCUCUCAAUUUGGGGACAUAUAAACAAGGAAAUGCCAAUAACUGAGUUGCAAUUUGAAUGCUUCUCUGAGUGCAUUGAAGUGAGAAAAUAUCUAGAAAGUAAGCCAGGAGAUGUGUAUGAACUGAGAUGGAGUGAGCACCCCCGACAUGUGGAGAGCUUGCAGAAGAGCAUCCUAAAAGCUCACAGGUGCUUCACUGGUUCAAGCCCUGCCCCCUCCUCUUUUUACUGUCACUACAGCUUUGCCUUUUCCAGACUGUCACAUAAUUGGAAUCAUACGAUUGAUCUUCCGUUCACCUAUGGAAGGAAAUUUUAUUUGCUUCCAGUUUGGGGCAAUUACAAAUAAAACUGCUAGAAAUAUUCAUAUGCAGAUGAACAUAAGUUUUCAAGUCAAUUAGGUGAAUACCUAAGUGCACAAUUCCUGGACCAUAUGCUAAGAGAAUGUUUAGCUCAGUAAGAACCUGCCAAACUCUUUUCCAAAGUGUCGGUGCCAUUUGCGGUGAAUGA